This is a long non-coding RNA of Perca fluviatilis (European perch), 210 nucleotides long. RefSeq lists it as uncharacterized. The transcript has 3 exons. The record is from RefSeq and is a predicted model, not a curated record. NCBI's taxonomy places the organism in Eukaryota, Metazoa, Chordata, Actinopteri, Perciformes, Percidae.
AGAGAUUCCCCCAGCGGAGCUGACAGCCCAUCAGCCAGAGAGGAGUGUGUUUGAGUGCUGGCCCUCACAGAGGAAUUGGGAUGUCCUUCAACAUGGUGCGCUGAGAAUGAUUUCUGGGUCGCAAGUCGGAGGAUCGAGGAGUCGAGGAGAACUGUCAGCUGAUGGAAAAGGCAGAGACGGAGGCUCAACGAGCGCCCGCGUGCACAUAAU